This 312-nucleotide long non-coding RNA is filed under the name Brassica napus (rape). RNAcentral's name for it is "long non-coding RNA (BNAP_LNC020551)". Lineage: Eukaryota; Viridiplantae; Streptophyta; Magnoliopsida; Brassicales; Brassicaceae. The record is from RNAcentral.
UUUAUGCAUGUUGAUUUCAUCACGUUUUAGGGUUCGAUUGAGGUGUUUUAUAAAAUCUAGGGUUUGAAAUCGGAUUGGGGAUUUUUAUCGAUUUAGGGUUUUCGUCUUGGUUUGAUUUUUUUUUGCAUUUUCGCAUCGGUUCUUUGUUGUUAUCGUCUGGAUUAGAGGUUCUGGAUUGAGUUCGCAAUCGAUUUAGGGUUUUGGUUCUUGAUUUCAUUUUUUUUAAUAAGAAUCGUCUCGGUUUGUUUUAUUUAUUUAUUUUCACUUCGGUUGUUUGUUGUUAUCGUCUCGAUUAGAGGUUUAAUCUAUUGA